AUGGAAGGAAGCACUCCCUCGAACACAAGGAUUGCUGUGGUCACCGGCGGGAGCAAAGGGAUCGGGCUGGAGGCGUGCAAGCAGCUGGCAGGCGGCGGCGCCAUCACGGUUGUUCUGACGGCCAGGGACGAGACGAGGGGGGCGGCGGCGGUCGAGCAGAUCAAGCGGCUGGGGCACGCACAUGUCAUCUUUCAUCAGCUGGACAUCACGGAUGCUUCCAGCAUCGCUCGACUCGCAGAUUUCCUCAAGACCCGUUUCGGGAAGCUUGACAUCCUGGUGAAUAACGCCGCGACUGAUGGGAUUGAGCAUGUCAUUGAUCCAGUUUAUGGUUUAACUCCCGGUGAUGAAGCGUUCAAUGGCAUGGACGCGGGCCAGAGGAUCGAUUGGAUGUGGACCAGCUGCCGGCAGACGUACGAGACCGCGAAACAGGGCCUGCAGACGAACUACUACGGCACGAAGCGGGUGACAGAGGCUCUCCUGCCCCUGCUCCGAUCCUCGUCCGACGGAAGGAUCGUCAACGUCUCCUCCAACUUCGGAUUGCUCAGCUUUUUCAGGAGCGAGGAGCUGAAGCAGGAGCUGAACGGCGUCGACAGACUGGCGGAGGAGAGGCUGGACGAGCUGCUGGCCGAGUUCCUCAGGGACUUCGAGAGCGGCGGGGCGGAGGCGCGCGGGUGGCCGGCCGAGUUCUCGGCGUACAAGGUGGCCAAGGCCGCCAUGAACGCCUACUCGAGGAUCCUGGCCAGGAGGCACCCGGAGCUGCGCGUCAACUGCGCGCACCCCGGCUACGUGAAGACGGACAUCACCAGGAACUCCGGGAUCCUGACGCCGGAGGAGGGCGCGCGCAACAUCACCAGCGUUGCGCUGCUGCCGGAAGGCGGGCCCACCGGCAGGUACUUCUCCGAAGGCGAGGAGGCAUCCUUCGUGUGA
This 927-nucleotide ribosomal RNA is filed under the name Triticum aestivum (bread wheat). RNAcentral describes it as "partial small subunit ribosomal RNA". The record is from RNAcentral. Lineage: Eukaryota; Viridiplantae; Streptophyta; Magnoliopsida; Poales; Poaceae.